AAAUCAGUGUAUCUUGA
This 17-nucleotide transfer RNA is filed under the name Penaeus monodon (black tiger shrimp). RNAcentral describes it as "partial tRNA-Val". The record is from RNAcentral. Lineage: Eukaryota; Metazoa; Arthropoda; Malacostraca; Decapoda; Penaeidae.